UUUUGUGAUUUGUUCGGUGAGCUCAAUAAAUCCUAAUAUUUAUUUUGAUCUUUUUCAUUUACUACUGUUUUUUGGCCGCUAGUUCAAUUUUUAUGUAUGAAUCCCAAGUUUUGUUAAUAAAGUUUAAAAAAAAAAAAAAGACUCAACAUCCGGGUUUUCCUGCCCACCGGAGGCAUUUGAUCCUUGGCUCUUUAACGCGACGGAGCGUCUGCGACAAUGUAAGGUAAGAAAAAUUACUUUAUAUACUGGCAGAGCAGGCGGCUGCCAAGGGCAGCAAUUUAAAGGAGGCACUGGCUCAGGGCUUCGAGAAAAAGAAUAAUUCUGCGGUUUAUUAGCUGUUAUAUGACGGUGUUUGAACGGCAAAUUCGCACCCCCUGCAGCUGCGCGUGCUCUCAGGCGCUGCUAUCACGCACAGUGCACGUGCUUAGCUGAGCCACCUGCAUGCUGAGAAGGCAAAGGGGAGGGGGGAGGGGGAGAGUUCAUCUCUGUGUUGCUCCCAAAUUUAGAAGGCAGGGCGGAGGAUCAACUUCUUCACAUUUUAUACAGGCAGAUAAAAUUGUAAAUUUUUUUGUUAAUGUUUUUUUUAUGAAAUGACAAAAAUAAACACACCUGGAUGGUCAUUAAAAUGAUGCGUCUUAAAUUGAAAAACAGAAAUAUUUAAGAUAUUAAUAUUUCAGAACAUAAAAUUUAGCUGUUUGAAAAUCAAAGGUUUAAAGAAAGAAAGUCAAUUUGCACGUAAUUUUCUGCGGCCAGUGUUAAACUUUUUUCUUAGUCGCCCAGACUAAGUGCGGCUGUCUCUGCAGCUCACAGCUCCACCAGGGGAUGGGUCAAAUGUGGAGAACACAUUUACACAUUUAGGAGCGUGACAGUUAAUGGGACUUUAAGUUUAAAUACGUGCGGCCAACAAAAGAAAAUCCAGAAUCCAACCUUGGACUCACUUAAAAUACGUGCGGCCAAUGCAGUAAUGUGAUCUUGGCUGCAUGUACUAUGUGGGGCCAAUAUGAAUUUCCAUCAAUUUCUAUGCUGGUCGCACGGAAAUAUGUGAAUUACAUCAGCCUUAAAAAAUUCAGUAAUGAAGGUAAGACAGUUUAAAAAGAAUUUAAAUUCCCAAAUUUCUAAAAUAGAUCAAAAAAGCUAAAAUAUAUGACAAUUUCCCAAUUAAAUUGUUGACGGUUUAAGUUGUUACGAAAUAUAAUAGUUGAUGUAAACUCUGACUAGUUAGCAAGGUGACUAUUUCAAAUUAAGGUAACUAGACACAGCUGCAGGGAGUUUUUUACUCCUGAUUUUACUCUUAAACAAUAAUAGCUGUUAGACUUGUUUCAUCUCUAACACAAAUUCAGCACACAACAUGGUGUGGGACAUUUGAAUGGUAAUGUACUUGUCUAUCAAACGCAAAUUGACUUUUUUGCUCUGUUCGUUACAACAUGGUAAAGGAAACAAAACAGCUUUAAAUAGAUUUAAUAUUAGUAUUUAUAUUUGAAGAUGCUCUGCUGUUACUUUAGUUGGUUAUUAUCCAAAUUCCUAUAAUUAAUCACAAGCAGAGAGUUUACAUGCUUUUUUUGGCUAAAUUAUCAGAUAAGGUUAUUGGAGAGGUUGUCCAUUACGGUAAAAAAAUUUCUAAAUUGUAAAUUCUGUUUAAAUAAUAGGAAGCAUUGAUAAUUUUGUUAUGUAUUUUGGAAACUUAUUGUUUCUUAUUUUUUCUGUAAAUGAAUGCAGGAACCAAAUGACACCAUGUCUAGAAGGAGAACCAGACUUAGUCCUGAGGCUGAAGCUAUUCAGUUUAUUUUAUCUGGAAGUGACAAGACUUGUCUAAAGGUCCAAUGGAUCAGUGACUUUAAAGGGCGUGGUGUAUUUGCCUGUGCACCAAUUGAAAAGGGGUCUUUUGUGGCUGAGUACCGUGGGGAGUUGAUCUCAAAAAAUGAACGGGACAAGAGACAGAAAAAGUACUCUGAGAAGCAAAAUGCAUUCCUGUUUGAUUUUGAGUGGAACAGUGAUAUAUGGUGUAUCGACGCAUCCCAUGAAGAUGGCUCCUUUGGCCGGCUGGUUAAUGAUGCCCAUAAAUCCCCAAACUGCAAAAUGAAAAAGUUAACUGUUCAGGGUAAACCUCAUCUUUGCUUGUUUGCAAUUGAAAACAUCCAGGAACAAAGUGAAAUAACAUACAACUAUGGGGACUCUCAGUGGCCAUGGCGA
Molecule: long non-coding RNA, 2190 nt
Organism: Oryzias melastigma (Indian medaka)
Lineage: Eukaryota; Metazoa; Chordata; Actinopteri; Beloniformes; Adrianichthyidae
Exons: 3
Source: RefSeq, a predicted model, not a curated record